This 255-nucleotide unclassified non-coding RNA is filed under the name uncultured fungus. RNAcentral describes it as "sequence contains ITS1, 5.8S rRNA gene". The stretch from base 207 to 255 matches the Rfam family "5.8S ribosomal RNA", at positions 1 to 49 of the family's 154-position model. The record is from RNAcentral. Lineage: Eukaryota; Fungi.
UUUCCGUAGGUGAACCUGCGGAAGGAUCAUUAUUGAAAUCCAAACUGGGGUUGGGUUGUUGCUGGCUACGGCAUGUGCACGCCCUCUCCAAAACUCACACCUGUGCACUCAUGGGACGGAGCCGGCCACUGGUUUGGCUGGUGAAGUCCACCUUUACACACUCUUUUGAAACCUGAAUGUAACUGUCGUUUAUUAACGAAUGAAACAACUUUCAACAACGGAUCUCUUGGCUCUCGCAUCGAUGAAGAACGCAGC